RNAcentral lists this ribosomal RNA (477 nucleotides) under uncultured bacterium. RNAcentral describes it as "bacterial SSU rRNA". It matches the Rfam family "Bacterial small subunit ribosomal RNA", at positions 328 to 793 of the family's 1533-position model. The record is from RNAcentral.
UCAGUCGACUCCUACGGGGAGGCAGCAGUGGGGAAUAUUGCACAAUGGGGGAAACCCUGAUGCAGCCAUGCCGCGUGUGUGAAGAAGGCCUUCGGGUUGUAAAGCACUUUCAGUAGGGAGGAAGGUAGUGUAGUUAACACCUGCAUUAUUUGACGUUACCUACAGAAGAAAGCACCGGCUAACUCCGUGCCAGCAGCCGCGGUAAUACGGAGGGUGCGAGCGUUAAUCGGAAUUACUGGGCGUAAAGCGCAUGCAGGCGGCCUGUUAAGUCAGAUGUGAAAGCCCGGGGCUUAACCUCGGAAUUGCAUUUGAAACUGGCAGGCUAGAGUCUUGUAGAGGGGGGUAGGAAUUUCAGGUGUAGCGGUGAAAAUGCGUAGAGAUCUGAAGGAAUACCGGUGGCGAAGGCGGCCCCCUGGACAAAGACUGACGCUCAGAUGCGAAAGCGUGGGGAGCAAACAGGAUUAGAUACCCUGGUAG